This 498-nucleotide ribosomal RNA is filed under the name uncultured bacterium. RNAcentral describes it as "partial 16S ribosomal RNA". It matches the Rfam family "Bacterial small subunit ribosomal RNA", at positions 30 to 523 of the family's 1533-position model. The record is from RNAcentral.
AUUGAACGCUGGCGGCAUGCCUUACACAUGCAAGUCGAACGGUAACAGGUCUUCGGAUGCUGACGAGUGGCGAACGGGUGAGUAAUACAUCGGAACGUGCCCGAUCGUGGGGGAUAACGAAGCGAAGGCUUUGCUAAUACCGCAUAAGAUCUACGGAUGAAAGCAGGGGACCGCAAGGCCUUGCGCGAACGGAGCGGCCGAUGGUAGAUUAGGUAGUUGGUGGGAUAAAAGCUUACCAAGCCGACGAUCUGUAGCUGGUCUGAGAGGACGACCAGCCACACUGGGACUGAGACACGGCCCAGACUCCUACGGGAGGCAGCAGUGGGGGAUUUUGGACAAUGGGCGAAAGCCUGAUCCAGCCAUGCCGCGUGCAGGAUGAAGGCCUUCGGGUUGUAAACUGCUUUUGUACGGAACGAAAAGACUCUUUCUAAUAAAGAGGGUCCAUGACGGUACCGUAAGAAUAAGCACCGGCUAACUACGUGCCAGCCGCCGCGGUAA